ACUAGAUGUGGAACAAGGAUGACUGGACUGCUACUCACAUCUCCAGGGAGGCUACCUGGAAAACAGGACCCAAAGAAAGACACGGGGAUUGCCCAAUGACAGAGAAUUGGAAGAGAUCUACAUGAACAGCCUGGACAUGAGUGGGGAUGAGCAAUCAAGGCUAAAACAACUCAUAGAUGUCACAAGGAUGCUUUCCAUUGAAAUUUGAACUCUACUGCUGGCACCAUUCUGUCUCCCAACAUGGAAGGCUGAAGCAGAUGAUUAAUAGCUGGGGCUGAGCUUUGGAAUCACAUCUCUGUUCUCUAGCAUCCAGCCCCCAUGGCCAAGCCCAUCUUUAACGGAACAUCGAAUUUGCUACGCACUGACUAUAAAGGCACUAAUGAGGGGAGUGCAUUAGUUUUCUUGUGCUGCUAUGUGAAACCCAAGAAACUACAAUUUAAACAACAGAAGUGACUUCCCUAACAUCCUAGAGGCUGGAAGUCUGAGACCAAGGGCUGACCAUGGUUAUUUUCUGGUGAGGUCUUUCUCGCUGUCAUUGCUUAGUGAACUUGUUCUCACUGGUUCCUCACACUAGCUUCCAGUGUGUACUUCUGCCUUUUACAAGGACUCUAGUCCCAUGGGAUUAGAGUUAUAGCUAAUGAGCUCAUUUAACCUUAAUUACUUCCUUCAUGGCUGUGUCUAAAUAUAGUCACACUGGGUGUUAGGGCCUCAACAUACAGAUCAAGACACAUAAUUAGUCCAUAAUGAACUUAAUGAAGAAAUAUUAGUGGCAAUCCAAAAGAUACACUUUCUGUGUCACUAUUUUGGGAAAAUGUUUGCUUCUACUUUUUUAAGUCCAUGCAAUUUACAUUUAAACAUUUUUACUAUAUAUUCUUUGUAUAUAGUAUUAUGUUAAUAAAGACAUUUUACAUGUA
Peromyscus eremicus (cactus mouse) is the source of this 914-nucleotide long non-coding RNA. RefSeq lists it as uncharacterized. NCBI's taxonomy places the organism in Eukaryota, Metazoa, Chordata, Mammalia, Rodentia, Cricetidae. The transcript is spliced from 2 exons. The record is from RefSeq and is a predicted model, not a curated record.